RNAcentral lists this non-coding RNA (46 nucleotides) under Schistosoma mansoni. The record is from RNAcentral. Lineage: Eukaryota; Metazoa; Platyhelminthes; Trematoda; Strigeidida; Schistosomatidae.
GCACUGUUGAGGAGUCCCACAAUAGAACGAAACGGAUGUCUAGUGC